Molecule: long non-coding RNA, 460 nt
Organism: Rosa rugosa (rugosa rose)
Lineage: Eukaryota; Viridiplantae; Streptophyta; Magnoliopsida; Rosales; Rosaceae
Exons: 2
Source: RefSeq, a predicted model, not a curated record
CACAUAAGCUUCUACUAAAUAGUCUUCAAUGAUGUAGUCAUUUGUUUUCUUUCCACUUUAUGCACUUAAUAAAUAAGCUGAUUUUCACAUAAUCUAGAUUAGCCAGAGCGUGCCUGGACAAAUUUCCAUGUACAGAAGUUUAGUACUCAUUGCAUAUAAACUGUGGUGUGAGAGCAGCCACCGUUGGAGACAUCAAAUUCGAAGAUGAUACAGAUCUUGGAGGUGGAGCAAAAUUUGUUGAUGACAACAUAGGAAAUAAUGCAUCGACACUUGGAAUGGAAAGCUAAGGAAUAUGCUCUGAUGCAAUGUUAAACAUAGCAUCCCAUAUUCUAGCACACUAAUGUUUUUGUCCCCUGAUGCAAUGUUAAACAAAUAAUUGUCACUGAUUCAUGAUUUUGUGGAACAAUGACUAAUACGAAUUGUAUCUUGGUGGGUCUAAUGUAUUUUGAAGUUUAAAAUA